Molecule: ribosomal RNA, 443 nt
Filed under: uncultured bacterium
Lineage: Bacteria
Description: partial 16S ribosomal RNA
Rfam family: Bacterial small subunit ribosomal RNA
Source: RNAcentral
CCUACGGGUGGCAGCAGUGGGGAAUAUUGGUCAAUGGGCGCAAGCCUGACCCAGCAACGCCGCGUGAAGGAAGAAGGCUCUCGGGUUGUAAACUUCUUUUAUCAGGGACGAAGCAAGCGACGGUACCUGCUGAAUAAGCCUCGGCGAACUACGUGCCAGCAGCCGCGGUAAUACGUAGGUGGCAAGCGUUAACCGGAUUUACUGGGUGUAAAGGGCGUGUAGGCGGGAAAGCAAGUCAGAUGGGAAAACCAUGGGCUCAACCUGGGGCCUGCAGUUGAAACUGGUUUUCUUGAGUACUGGAGAGGUAGACGGAAUUCCUAGUGUAGCGGUGAAAUGCGUAGAUAUUAGGAGGAACACCAGUGGCGAAGGCGGUCUGCUGGACAGCAACUGACGCUGAGGCGCGAAAGCGUGGGGAGCAAACAGGAUUAGAUACCCUAGUAGUC